Molecule: long non-coding RNA, 1048 nt
Filed under: Heterocephalus glaber (naked mole-rat)
Lineage: Eukaryota; Metazoa; Chordata; Mammalia; Rodentia; Bathyergidae
Description: lncRNA (ENSHGLG00000042530.1)
Source: RNAcentral
AAAAACACAACAUCACCAUGAUGUUGGAACUUAAUUGACACAUUUUUUUUUGCUUUGCAAGAGAACUGGGUGACUUUCAUUGAGAACUUUGAAUCUUGGUCUCAAGACCAUAACCAUAGAACCAAGUUUUAUUUUUGUGAUGACAUUUCUUAAAACUCUAGAAUCUGAAGUGGUGCAAUUGCACAACUCCAAUGAAAUGCAUUGUGUGUGAUCUGUGACUGAGGGCUUAUUUUAAAACACACCUUCUCUCAACCAUACCUCACAAGUGACUGAUGGCACUGAACACGUUGGAAUUUGCCAUACACUGCUGCUAAGGUUUGAUGCAUUACUUCUUAUAUUGAAGAUCCCUAUCUUUCCAUGGGAUGACCCUCAGCAGCAGCAUUCCCUGUAUUUCGUGAUCACACUUCACAUAUCCUAUUUGGAGAAAUGUCUGUUUAGAUAAUUUACCAAUUUUAAUUCAUUAUUAUCAUUCUUAUUUUGCUGUUAAGUUCUAUGAGUUCCUUAUAUAUUCUGGAAAUUGAUCCUUGUCAGAUGAAUAGUUUGCACAUACUUUCUCCCUUUCAGUGGGUUGUCUCUUCACUCUGUUGAUGAUUUGCUAUAUAGAAGCUUUUUAGUUUAAUGUGAUUGAAUUUGUCAAUUUUUACUUUUUUGCCUGAGCUAUUGGAGUCUUAAUCAAACAUAUCUGCUGAGACCAAUUUCCUGAAGUGUCUCCCCACUACUUUCUUGAGGGCCUUACAGUGCCAGAGCUGCCCUACGUCCUACUGAGACGAUUGUACUCCUUGGGAGCCCACAAUGUCAGACUGGCCUGAGGGUUUCUCAGUACUCCCAGUCUCUGGCCUCAACUCAUUGUGGACUGCUCUCUGCUCACAGGUGUGGAAUCUACUGUCAGCUGACUGGGACUCUGUCUCCAUUCAAAUGGAUGGGCUGUGUAUAUGAAAAGCAGCUCUGCUACUCUUGUGGCCAGACAAGGCCUUCUGUGCUUUUCCAGAAUUACAUAGCUGCUUUCAGUUCUCCUUCUGGAUAAUACAAAGAAGGGCGUACACAAGGG